This is a long non-coding RNA of Pistacia vera, 197 nucleotides long. RefSeq lists it as uncharacterized. The transcript is spliced from 3 exons. Lineage: Eukaryota; Viridiplantae; Streptophyta; Magnoliopsida; Sapindales; Anacardiaceae. The record is from RefSeq and is a predicted model, not a curated record.
UUCAGUCUUUAUGCCUUGAAACUUAGGCGGGAAACACUCUUGAUACUGUGGAGCAACUUGUGGAAGAACAAGGCCUGGAUCCAUUGUCUUCAGAUAAUGAGAGGACCUUGCCGAUACUUGAAGCUGUACAGCCGUUUCCCUGGACAUGGUCAGAGCAGAGUACUUCAUGUACUUAACAGCUCUAGAUUUUAUGUUCA